CUGGUUGGCAAUCAGGUGUUGAGUGCAAGUGCACAAGGGAGCUUGACUGUGAGACUGACAGGUCGAGCAGGGACGAAAGUCGGGACUAGUGAUCCGGCACCGGCAAGUGGAAGCGGUGUCGCUCAACGGAUAAAAGGUACCCCGGGGAUAACAGGCUGAUCUUCCCCAAGAGUCCAUAUCGACGGGAUGGUUUGGCACCUCGAUGUCGGCUCGUCGCAUCCUGGGGCUGGAGUAGGUCCCAAGGGUUGGGCUGUUCGCCCAUUAAAGCGGCACGCGAGCUGGGUUUAGAACGUCGUGAGACAGUUCGGUCUCUAUCCGCCGCGCGCGUUAGAAUCUUGAGGAAGGCUGUCCCUAGUACGAGAGGACCGGGACGGACGAACCUCUGGUGUGCCAGUUGUUCCACCAGGAGCACGGCUGGUUGGCUACGUUCGGAAGGGAUAACCGCUGAAAGCAUCUAAGCGGGAAGCCUGUUCCAAGAUUAGGAUUCUCACCACCUUGAGUGGGUAAGACCCCCUACAGACUAUGGGGUUGAUAGGCCAGAACUGGAAGCGCAGUAAUGCGUGCAGGUGACUGGUACUAAUCGGUCGAGGACUUACCACACA
RNAcentral lists this ribosomal RNA (602 nucleotides) under Tsukamurella pseudospumae. Its description in RNAcentral is "bacterial LSU rRNA". It matches the Rfam family "Bacterial large subunit ribosomal RNA", at positions 2327 to 2925 of the family's 2925-position model. Lineage: Bacteria; Bacillati; Actinomycetota; Actinomycetes; Mycobacteriales; Tsukamurellaceae. The record is from RNAcentral.